CCUACGGGAGGCUGCAGUGGGGAAUAUUGCACAAUGGGCGCAAGCCUGAUGCAGCCAUGCCGCGUGUGUGAAGAAGGCCUUCGGGUUGUAAAGCACUUUCAGCGGGGAGGAAGGCGUUAAGGUUAAUAACCUUGGCGAUUGACGUUACCCGCAGAAGAAGCACCGGCUAACUCCGUGCCAGCAGCCGCGGUAAUACGGAGGGUGCAAGCGUUAAUCGGAAUUACUGGGCGUAAAGCGCACGCAGGCGGUCUGUCAAGUCGGAUGUGAAAUCCCCGGGCUCAACCUGGGAACUGCAUUCGAAACGGGCAGGCUAGAGUCUUGUAGAGGGGGGUGGAAUUCCAGGUGUAGCGGUGAAAUGCGUAGAGAUGUGGAGGAAUACCGGUGGCGAAGGCGGCCCCCUGGACAAAGACUGACGCUCAUGUGCGAAAGCGUGGGGAGCAAACAGGAUUAGAUACCCGGGUAGUC
Molecule: ribosomal RNA, 465 nt
Filed under: uncultured Klebsiella sp.
Lineage: Bacteria; Pseudomonadati; Pseudomonadota; Gammaproteobacteria; Enterobacterales; Enterobacteriaceae
Description: bacterial SSU rRNA
Rfam family: Bacterial small subunit ribosomal RNA
Source: RNAcentral